AAUCAACGCUGGCGGCGUGCCUAACACAUGCAAGUCGAACGCGAAAGUCCCGCAAGGGAUCAGUAGAGUGGCAAACGGGUGAGUAACACGUGGGUGACCUGCCUUCGAGCGGGGGAUAACGUCCCGAAAGGGACGCUAAUACCGCAUGACAUCCUGCUCUUGAACGAGUGGAGAUCAAAGCUGGGGAUCGCAAGACCUAG
This 200-nucleotide ribosomal RNA is filed under the name uncultured bacterium. Its description in RNAcentral is "partial 16S ribosomal RNA". It matches the Rfam family "Bacterial small subunit ribosomal RNA", at positions 32 to 215 of the family's 1533-position model. The record is from RNAcentral.